UACGAAGGGUGCAAGCGUUACUCGGAAUUACUGGGCGUAAAGCGUGCGUAGGUGGUUGUUUAAGUCUGUCGUGAAAGCCCUGGGCUCAACCUGGGAAUUGCGAUGGAUACUGGGCGACUAGAGUGUGGUAGAGGGUGGCGGAAUUCCCGGUGUAGCAGUGAAAUGCGUAGAGAUCGGGAGGAACAUCCGUGGCGAAGGCGGCCACCUGGGCCAACACUGACACUGAGGCACGAAAGCGUGGGGAGCAAACAGG
RNAcentral lists this ribosomal RNA (253 nucleotides) under uncultured bacterium. RNAcentral describes it as "partial 16S ribosomal RNA". It matches the Rfam family "Bacterial small subunit ribosomal RNA", at positions 524 to 776 of the family's 1533-position model. RNAcentral also lists the same sequence under 1 other name. The record is from RNAcentral.